UCCUCAAUAGCUCCAACGGCAGAGCGCUUCUCUCGUAAAGAAGAGGCUGCGUGUUCGAAUCACGCUUGAGGAA
Mycotypha africana is the source of this 73-nucleotide non-coding RNA. NCBI's taxonomy places the organism in Eukaryota, Fungi, Mucoromycota, Mucoromycetes, Mucorales, Mycotyphaceae. The record is from the annotation of a RefSeq genome assembly.